This 677-nucleotide non-coding RNA is filed under the name Pongo abelii (Sumatran orangutan). The record is from RNAcentral. Lineage: Eukaryota; Metazoa; Chordata; Mammalia; Primates; Hominidae.
GACCAGGAGACUGGUGAGUCCUUGUGAAUUUCUUCCCUGCUCAAGUGCAUAAAGCAGGUGUAUUGCAUAGCUUUUCCAGGCUGAGAUCAAAGAGGGAGAUGUGUCUACCCGCAGAUCUUAGAUGGCCAUGUUUGCAACAGGGGUAAUGAUGAGCAGUGCGAAGAUGUGACUCCAAAGCCUGGAGAAGGACAGACCAGCAUCCCUGGCAAGAGAUCCAACUGUCUUCUUUUCCGCAGAGGUCCACAAUUUACAUGGACCUGACAAAGAAUAUUGUAACUUGCAGAAAUUAUCUUCAGUUCAAAUCCUUCAUUUUGGGGGUUAAAUAACUUGCCCAAGAUGUCGAGGGAGCGGAAAUACUUGCUGGUCUUGCAGCGGCUGUGGAGCCUGGAAUCCUGCCAAGAAGAGCAUGUGUGAGAAAUCAAAAUGUUUCUUACAUUCCUCCUGUGAAGGGAGUUGGGAAAUAAUCUAAAAAGCCCAAUCCAAAAACAAAGAUGUACCAUCCAGUCUUCUCUGUGAGAGCCAAACUACAAACCAUCUGAAUGUUCCAAAAGUGUUUUGAUGAUGUAUUGAUGUAUUUUAAAUUAUCCUGAAAAUGUUCUUGGCAGAUGCUUAAACGUGUAGUUACUGAGAUGAUGUAGAAAUACCAAGUGUUUAUUAAAACAAUACAGAGUAAUACA